This 467-nucleotide ribosomal RNA is filed under the name uncultured bacterium. Its description in RNAcentral is "partial 16S ribosomal RNA". It matches the Rfam family "Bacterial small subunit ribosomal RNA", at positions 28 to 506 of the family's 1533-position model. The record is from RNAcentral.
GACGAACGCUGGCGGCGUGCUUAACACAUGCAAGUCGAACGGAAAGGCCCUGCUUUUGUGGGGUGCUCGAGUGGCGAACGGGUGAGUAACACGUGAGUAACCUGCCCUUGACUUUGGGAUAACUUCAGGAAACUGGGGCUAAUACCGGAUAGGAGCUCCUGCUGCAUGGUGGGGGUUGGAAAGUUUCGGCGGUUGGGGAUGGACUCGCGGCUUAUCAGCUUGUUGGUGGGGUAGUGGCUUACCAAGGCUUUGACGGGUAGCCGGCCUGAGAGGGUGACCGGCCACAUUGGGACUGAGAUACGGCCCAGACUCCUACGGGAGGAAGAAGUGGGGAAUAUUGAACAAUGGGCGGAAGCCUGAUGCAGCAACGCCGCGUGCGGGAUGACGGCCUUCGGGUGGUAAACCGCUUUCGCCUGUGACGAAGCGUGAGUGACGGUAAUGGGUAAAGAAGAACCGGCUAACUACGU